RNAcentral lists this non-coding RNA (4009 nucleotides) under synthetic construct. The record is from RNAcentral.
GGGAACAUCGUUAGGAAACUGUCCAGCAUCUAGUUUAACCAUAUGUGGUUUGGAUAGUUCAUAACAAAAUUUAUGUAGCAAGGUUGGGAUGGAUGAUCCAUGUAGUGGCAACUGACGCACAUUUUCUCUCAAGUCAUUAAAAAUACUAUCUCUAAACAUCUGUUCCAUAAGCCUUGCCCUGGGUGCAACAAAGCCAGCCUUCUGAAACACAGUCUUAACUGAAGUCUGGGAAAGCAUAGCAUCCACAAUAACUUCAGGAGGCACGAUCGCCAACAGUUCCCAGGCACAAAAAAUGGCAUCCAAUACUUCAUUGAGGAGUUGCAGGUACGUGUGGUUGAUCACACCUUCUGGGUUUCUCCCCCUCUCCUUGACUCGGGUCGCAGCUACUUUGGGAUGGAGUUUAAACAAGACAACAUUAUCAAAUUUUUGUGCUGAAAACACAGACAAUAGUGAUAACAAAUCACAGAACCUCAACACCCCCAAUCUGAAAAACAGGCAAGGAAAGAUGACUGUGGGAGACACCAUAUGCCUGUCAAUCAACACAUAAUUGUUACAUGUUCCAUCGGAGACCUUGGUACCUAGACACGUCCGGCGGAGUAGGUGCUGGGUGGCAUGAAAAGGCUGGGCAAAGGCCAUUUGGCAUUGCAACACUUUUUUGGAGUGCUUCUUCCCCUUUUCUUUGGUCUUGACCACAUCGUAGAUCUGCUGACAGACAUUUUUGUCAAAAGUGGAAGUCCAGUAAGGAAUAGGUUCUGAGAUCACAAGUAUGUUGUGCAGAAACUCAGCAGCAGCCUCCAGGGCGGUGGUCUUACCCACCGCAAUCCCACCAUCAAAGUAUAACACAGUGGCACAUCUGGUGGGGCCUGCCGGGAAAUCUGUGCUCAUUUUGGACAUAUAUGAAUAUCUGAACCCAGUCCCGUCUCCUCUCCUCCUAACAACUGACCGAUGCUCUUCCGUGCCCUCAUUUUUUGUAUUUCCGCUCAUGAACUUCUCAAAACUUCCCUUUAGUUUGUCAAAAGCGGUUUUACUCUUUGUUCCAGUCUCCUUAGUCAUCAUCAGGCGUUUCCAGGAUGUAGGAACAUCAACCUUACUUCCCCUCUGACGCUCCCCAACAGCUUCCGCGUCACUUUCCGUCUCAGAAUCAGAGAAGAUUAUCACUGGGGGGUUUGGCCGUCUUUGUGGCCUGGGAGACCUGACAUCCCGUUCUGGGGGUGGAGAACCUGCCAUUUCCUCAUACCCUUGAGGUACAUGUUGAGGUACAGAUGGAAGUGGUUUGUCCACUGGCAGGAAGUCAGGUUUGUUGCCUCCGGCCUCUGGGUGUCUAACCAAAACCCUGGGUGCCCGGGACCGAGGACGCGCGCCCCCAUGAGUUGUUUGCACAGUGACAGUAUUGGCCUGAGUAUCCCUAGGGAUAUCAUAGUUCUCACCCACAGAAGAGACUUUACACCUGAUGGUGGACCUCCUGGGUGUUUGAUAGAUCGAUUGCCUGGCAGGUUGCCCAUAUGCCCCUAUAUCCUCAUAAUCAGACUCACUAUCUGACUGUUCGGGGGGACGCCGACUGGGCGUGCCAGGCAUCCUCUCGACUUCGCCAGUGCUGGGUCUGCGAGUAAUUAUUCUGUCAAAAGAGGGGGUGGCAUAGGUGGCAUCAUCAUCGCUAUCUACAGCCUCUUGUCUAUUAUAGGGGGGUCUCAGGAGAGAAUAUACUCCCUGGCGCCGCAUUGCAUCAAAAGGAUUGUCAUAAACCUCCUCUGGCUCUGCAUAGACGUGCUCAUCACUGUCAGAAUCAGGUUGGAAUCCAGGGUUGUUUUUACCUCCAGAAGCCAUGAAUGAAUUAGGAGCCAAGCAACUGCUCAACAAAUUACCAAAGAGGAGAGCUAGGGCUGGAAAGCUGGCACACGUCAGGUGUUACAGAGCAAUGCAAGGAGCUUCAAAUAUUCUCCAACUGCUAGAAUCUUUAAAAAUCGCACAUCAGAUAACACACCCAGUAGGUUCCAGGCUCUUUUUUGAGGUCACACUAGGGCGCAGGGUGGUUGAUGCAAUUAUAGUGGUUUUCUCAGAAAGUAGUCCUCACAUCCACUGUUUUUUGAUAGAGCUAAAGACAUGUAAAAUCAAUUUCUUCAACCAGCACAGUACCACCAGAGAAGCACAAAAGGUAGAGGGUAGCAACCAGCUGAGGGACUCUGCCAAGGCGCUAGCAGUUCUAGCUCCAGUUGGAACUGACCCCUGCAGAGUCACCGCACACCUGAUAUUUAAGAGCCAGCGGGGUCUGAACACUUUAAAAAGUUAUACACUGAACUGGAUGACUCACACUGUAAACACUCAAAAAGUUGCACUUUUGAACUUUCUGGGGUUGCGUGCGGACAAUGAAUUAAGAGCUUGUUUAACUAGGGGACUCCCCCCUGCCAAUUCCCCUGGAAGCAGGAGGCACCAUGUUUGUUUACCUGAACCCAAACCCCAAAAACACCUUAAGAAUAGACGCGGAGGCGCUCACAGAAACCAGAAGGCUCGCCGCCAGGGCGUGGGACCUAAAGUAUCAAAUGACAAAACAAGGAAUGCACCAACGCAUGCUGAGGGCCGAGCUGGAUAACCUGGAAAUCCUAGAAAGGGGGCAUUCUGCGGCUUUGACCACAAAUCUGAGCUUACUGGCAAAUGUCCUGCUCGACCAACCGGCCCCGCCCGAUCCAACACAGGGUGAAGAAAAGGGCCUUCCCCCUUCCAGUCGGGUGGAGUCCAGAACAGAGGGUGUCUACACUGUAACUGUAUACCCGGGAGAUCCCGCCUUUGAAAUACAGGAUAGUCUACCCCAGAAAAUAUGGCCAAUGCUCUACCUCCAUCAGCAGAGGUGGCUGCCCUCUUACGGCCCGUGGCACAUCAGGUUUACCUCUUCCGCCAUGCAGCUCAGAAAUUUUCCACGUUCCCUCCGUGGCCAGGCAAAUUUUCAAAACUCCAUGUCCCUCAAACUCAUCACUGCACUUACUGACGUCAUCUCCAGGAUCUCCCUAGACUUUUACUCAGACCUGAGACAUUUGAGUGAUACCAUGUCCGCCCUGUGUCUCAUAGCAGCUUACUACAGUGAAAAAAAUCAAACACCUCUACCCACUAACCUCCCAGAACUGCUAGGGAAUAUCACAGCAAAGGUGACCCUCCUGGUUAGGGACCUGAAGAGGGCAGCGGCAAAUAAAGGGUUUAAUUUCAAUAGAAACUCUUCUUCUCUGUUACCUGCCCAGGGCGGCCUUUACAGUAAUGAUUUUUUUCAGGAGCACGCGCUGUAUUCUCUGUUUAGAACAGCGGGGAUGUUGGCAAGUUCAAGCUCGCCCGAGUAUCCCAGGGCAGAUUCUGUGCUCGCCAUCACGGCGGCCGUGUUUGGUGACAACAUCCCUCCCUUUGCUGCCUAUCAGUGGAACCUUCGCAGUGGUCUCAAGGCGCUCGAGUCACUCAUCCUACUGUUUCUACUCUUGGACGUGAACGUCCCAGCCACCUCCAACAAGAGGCUACACCUGGAGGCUUUGUUGGGGGAGUCUUACAGUAAGGGGUCCCGUCCCCCAGCCCGCCGCACCGGUCCACUAGACGCUGGAGGCUCAGUCUUCAGCUUUCUCAUGGAAAACUAUCUAGUGCCCACUCUACUACACCGCCCCACCACCAACAUGUCCGCCCUCUUUCCAGGCCUCUACCUCCUCCAGCUGGAGUUUAGCUCAGGAGCCUCCACCCCCCACGCCAUUCACUUAACAGACGUGAAGUUUAGGGACAUUUUCAAUAUCCUGGUGCAAUCUAAUGUUUUUCAAGAUUCCCAGGAACUGAUCAGGGCCAAACAGUCCCUGAGAGUCAGCUGUGAAACAGGCAGUGGGAAUCUCCUGGAAAGCCUCUCCCCGGGGACCACCAUGCGAGACAUCAUCAGAAAAGAAUUCAUGGCACAAGAUGUUUAUGAUUAUGUUUAUUUUUGUGUGUUGGGGGCACUUCCUGUUACAGUGGCCGUGGUGUAAGAAAUAAAGCUGUUGUUAAAAGUAAACAA